CCAGACUCCUACGGGAGGCAGCAGUGAGGAAUAUUGGUCAAUGGACGUAAGUCUGAACCAGCCAAGUAGCGUGCGGGAUGAAGGCCCUUGUGGUCGUAAACCGCUUUUAUCAGUGAAUAAAGUGCAUCACGUGUGGUGUCAUUGCAGGUAGCUGAAGAAAAAGGACCGGCUAAUUCCGUGCCAGCAGCCGCGGUAAUACGGAAGGUCCGGGCGUUAUCCGGAAUUAUUGGGUUUAAAGGGAGCGCAGGCGGGAGUAUAAGUCAGCUGUUAAAUAUCAGGGCCCAACUCUGUUAUGCAGUUGAAACUAUAUUUCUUGAGUACGCACAGGGAUGGCGGAAUUCAGGGUGUAGCGGUGAAAUGCUUAGAUAUCCUGAAGAACUCCGAUCGCGAAGGCAGCCAUCCGGAGCGUAACUGACGCUGAGGCUCGAAGGUGCGGGUAUCGAACAGGAUUAGAUACCCUGGUAGUCCGCACGGUAAACGAUGAAUACUCGCAGUUCGGUCAUUAUGAUUGAGUUGUCCAGCGAAAGCGUUAAGUAUUCCACCUGGGGAGUACGCCGGCAACGGUGAAACUCAAAGGAAUUGACGGGGGCCCGCACAAG
Molecule: ribosomal RNA, 599 nt
Filed under: uncultured bacterium
Lineage: Bacteria
Description: bacterial SSU rRNA
Rfam family: Bacterial small subunit ribosomal RNA
Source: RNAcentral